RNAcentral lists this ribosomal RNA (1144 nucleotides) under uncultured bacterium. RNAcentral's name for it is "bacterial SSU rRNA". It matches the Rfam family "Bacterial small subunit ribosomal RNA", at positions 157 to 1304 of the family's 1533-position model. The record is from RNAcentral.
GGAAGAUUAAUACCCGAUGGCAUGCAUUUCCGGCAUCGGAGAUGCAUUAAAGAUUUUAUCGGUGACGGAUGAGGAUGCGUACGAUUAGCUAGUUGGCGGGGUAACGGCCCACCAAGGCUACGAUCGUUAGGGGUUCUGAGAGGAAGGUCCCCCACACUGGAACUGAGACACGGUCCAGACUCCUACGGGAGGCAGCAGUGAGGAAUAUUGGUCAAUGGGCGAGAGCCUGAACCAGCCAAGUAGCGUGAAGGAUGACUGCCCUACGGGUUGUAAACUUCUUUUGUUUGGGAAUAAAAGACGCUACGUGUAGCGUUCUGCAUGUACCUUACGAAUAGGCAUCGGCUAAUUCCGUGCCAGCAGCCGCGGUAAUACGGAAGAUGCGAGCGUUAUCCGGAUUUAUUGGGUUUAAAGGGAGCGUAGGCGGGCUGUUAAGUCAGCGGUAAAAUGUCAAGGCCCAACCUUGUCCUGCCGUUGAAACUGGCGGUCUUGAAUGCACACAAGGGAGAUGGAAUUCGUCGUGUAGCGGUGAAAUGCUUAGAUAUGACGAAGAACUCCGAUUGCGAAGGCAGUCUCCUGGGGUGUAAUUGACGCUGAGGCUCGAAAGUGCGGGUAUCAAACAGGAUUAGAUACCCUGGUAGUCCGCACAGUAAACGAUGAAUGCUGGUUCUUGGCGAUAUACGGUCAGGAACUGAGGGAAACCAUUAAGCAUUCCACCUGGGGAGUACGCCGGCAACGGUGAAACUCAAAGGAAUUGACGGGGGCCCGCACAAGCGGAGGAACAUGUGGUUUAAUUCGAUGAUACGCGAGGAACCUUACCCGGGCUUGAAUUGCAGCUGCAUGGGGCAGAGAUGUCCCUUCCCUUCGGGGCUGCUGUGAAGGUGCUGCAUGGUUGUCGUCAGCUCGUGCCGUGAGGUGUCGGCUUAAGUGCCAUAACGAGCGCAACCCUUGCUGUCAGUUGCCAUCAGGUAAAGCUGGGCACUCUGGCGGGACUGCCACCGCAAGAUGUGAGGAAGGUGGGGAUGACGUCAAAUCAGCACGGCCCUUACGUCCGGGGCUACACACGUGUUACGAUGGGGAGUACAGAAAGCCGCUUCAUGGCGACAUGAGGCCAAUCAUAAAAGCUCCUCUCAGUUCGGACUGGACU